CUACGGGUUGCAGCAGUGGGGAAUAUUGCACAAUGAGCGAAAGCUUGAUGCAGCCAUACCGCGUGUGUGAAGAAGGCCCGAGGGUUGUAAAGCACUUUCAAUUGUGAGGAAGGUUCAGUAGUUAAUACCUGCUGUUCUUGACGUUAACUUUAGAAGAAGCACCGGCUAACUCUGUGCCAGCAGCCGCGGUAAUACAGAGGGUGCAAGCGUUAUUCGGAAUUACUGGGCGUAAAGCGCGCGUAGGCGGACUAUUAAGUCAGUUGUGAAAGCCCUGGGCUCAACCUGGGAACUGCAUCUGAUACUGGUAGUCUAGAGUUUAAGAGAGGGAAGUGGAAUUCCAGGUGUAGCAGUGAAAUGCGUAGAUAUCUGGAGGAACAUCAGUGGCGAAGGCGACUUCCUGGCUUAAAACUGACGCUGAGGUGCGAAAGCGUGGGUAGCGAACGGGAUUAGAUACCCGCGUAGUC
Molecule: ribosomal RNA, 464 nt
Filed under: uncultured bacterium
Lineage: Bacteria
Description: partial 16S ribosomal RNA
Rfam family: Bacterial small subunit ribosomal RNA
Source: RNAcentral